This 2357-nucleotide ribosomal RNA is filed under the name Klebsiella oxytoca. RNAcentral describes it as "bacterial LSU rRNA". It matches the Rfam family "Bacterial large subunit ribosomal RNA", at positions 591 to 2925 of the family's 2925-position model. Lineage: Bacteria; Pseudomonadati; Pseudomonadota; Gammaproteobacteria; Enterobacterales; Enterobacteriaceae. The record is from RNAcentral.
GGGUGACUGCGUACCUUUUGUAUAAUGGGUCAGCGACUUAUAUUCUGUAGCAAGGUUAACCGUAUAGGGGAGCCGCAGGGAAACCGAGUCUUAACUGGGCGUUAAGUUGCAGGGUAUAGACCCGAAACCCGGUGAUCUAGCCAUGGGCAGGUUGAAGGUUGGGUAACACUAACUGGAGGACCGAACCGACUAAUGUUGAAAAAUUAGCGGAUGACUUGUGGCUGGGGGUGAAAGGCCAAUCAAACCGGGAGAUAGCUGGUUCUCCCCGAAAGCUAUUUAGGUAGCGCCUCGUGAAUUCAUCUUCGGGGGUAGAGCACUGUUUCGGCUAGGGGGUCAUCCCGACUUACCAACCCGAUGCAAACUACGAAUACCGAAGAAUGUUAUCACGGGAGACACACGGCGGGUGCUAACGUCCGUCGUGAAGAGGGAAACAACCCAGACCGCCAGCUAAGGUCCCAAAGUCAUGGUUAAGUGGGAAACGAUGUGGGAAGGCCCAGACAGCCAGGAUGUUGGCUUAGAAGCAGCCAUCAUUUAAAGAAAGCGUAAUAGCUCACUGGUCGAGUCGGCCUGCGCGGAAGAUGUAACGGGGCUAAACCAUGCACCGAAGCUGCGGCAGCGACACUAUGUGUUGUUGGGUAGGGGAGCGUUCUGUAAGCCGUUGAAGGUGGCCUGUGAGGGUUGCUGGAGGUAUCAGAAGUGCGAAUGCUGACAUAAGUAACGAUAAUGCGGGUGAAAAACCCGCACGCCGGAAGACCAAGGGUUCCUGUCCAACGUUAAUCGGGGCAGGGUGAGUCGACCCCUAAGGCGAGGCCGAAAGGCGUAGUCGAUGGGAAACAGGUUAAUAUUCCUGUACUUGGUGUUACUGCGAAGGGGGGACGGAGAAGGCUAUGUUGGCCGGGCGACGGUUGUCCCGGUUUAAGCAUGUAGGCGGAUGUUCCAGGUAAAUCCGGAACGUUACUAACGCUGAGGUGUGAUGACGAGGCACUACGGUGCUGAAGUGACAAAUGCCCUGCUUCCAGGAAAAGCCUCUAAGCAUCAGGUAACAUCAAAUCGUACCCCAAACCGACACAGGUGGUCAGGUAGAGAAUACCAAGGCGCUUGAGAGAACUCGGGUGAAGGAACUAGGCAAAAUGGUGCCGUAACUUCGGGAGAAGGCACGCUGAUGGUAAGUGAAGUGACUUGCUCAUGGAGCUGAAAUCAGUCGAAGAUACCAGCUGGCUGCAACUGUUUAUUAAAAACACAGCACUGUGCAAACACGAAAGUGGACGUAUACGGUGUGACGCCUGCCCGGUGCCGGAAGGUUAAUUGAUGGGGUUAUCCUCACGGAGAAGCUCUUGAUCGAAGCCCCGGUAAACGGCGGCCGUAACUAUAACGGUCCUAAGGUAGCGAAAUUCCUUGUCGGGUAAGUUCCGACCUGCACGAAUGGCGUAAUGAUGGCCAGGCUGUCUCCACCCGAGACUCAGUGAAAUUGAACUCGCUGUGAAGAUGCAGUGUACCCGCGGCAAGACGGAAAGACCCCGUGAACCUUUACUAUAGCUUGACACUGAACACUGGUCCUUGAUGUGUAGGAUAGGUGGGAGGCUUUGAAGUGUGGACGCCAGUCUGCAUGGAGCCGUCCUUGAAAUACCACCCUUUAAUGGCUGGUGUUCUAACGUGGGCCCGUGAUCCGGGUUGCGGACAGUGUCUGGUGGGUAGUUUGACUGGGGCGGUCUCCUCCUAAAGAGUAACGGAGGAGCACGAAGGUCAGCUAAUCCUGGUCGGACAUCAGGAGGUUAGUGCAAUGGCAUAAGCUGGCUUGACUGCGAGCGUGACGGCGCGAGCAGGUGCGAAAGCAGGUCAUAGUGAUCCGGUGGUUCUGAAUGGAAGGGCCAUCGCUCAACGGAUAAAAGGUACUCCGGGGAUAACAGGCUGAUACCGCCCAAGAGUUCAUAUCGACGGCGGUGUUUGGCACCUCGAUGUCGGCUCAUCACAUCCUGGGGCUGAAGUAGGUCCCAAGGGUAUGGCUGUUCGCCAUUUAAAGUGGUACGCGAGCUGGGUUUAGAACGUCGUGAGACAGUUCGGUCCCUAUCUGCCGUGGGCGCUGGAGAAUUGAGGGGGGCUGCUCCUAGUACGAGAGGACCGGAGUGGACGCAUCACUGGUGUUCGGGUUGUCAUGCCAAUGGCAUUGCCCGGUAGCUAAAUGCGGAAGAGAUAAGUGCUGAAAGCAUCUAAGCACGAAACUUGCCCCGAGAUGAGUUCUCCCUGACUCCUUGAGAGUCCUGAAGGAACGUUGAAGACGACGACGUUGAUAGGCCGGGUGUGUAAGCGCAGCGAUGCGUUGAGCUAACCGGUACUAAUGAACCGUGAGGCUUAACCUU